Molecule: ribosomal RNA, 506 nt
Filed under: uncultured bacterium
Lineage: Bacteria
Description: partial 16S ribosomal RNA
Rfam family: Bacterial small subunit ribosomal RNA
Source: RNAcentral
AGUGAACGCUGGCGGUAGGCCUAACACAUGCAAGUCGAACGGCAGCACAGGAGAGCUUGCUCUCUGGGUGGCGAGUGGCGGACGGGUGAGGAAUACAUCGGAAUCUACUCUGUCGUGGGGGAUAACGUAGGGAAACUUACGCUAGUACCGCAUACGACCUACGGGUGAAAGCAGGGGACCUUCGGGCCUUGCGCGGUUGAAUGAGCCGAUGUCGGAUUAGCUAGUUGGCGGGGUAAAGGCCCACCAAGGCGACGAUCCGUAGCUGGUCUGAGAGGAUGAUCAGCCACACUGGAACUGAGACACGGUCCAGACUCCUACGGGAGGCAGCAGUGGGGAAUAUUGGACAAUGGGCGCAAGCCUGAUCCAGCCAUACCGCGUGGGUGAAGAAGGCCUUCGGGUUGUAAAGCCCUUUUGUUGGGAAAGAAAUCCAGCUGGCUAAUACCCGGUUGGGAUGACGGUACCCAAAGAAUAAGCACCGGCUAACUUCGUGCCAGCAGCCGCGGUAA